GACGAACGCUGGCGGCGUGCUUAACACAUGCAAGUCGAACGGAAAGGCCCUGCUUUUGUGGGGUGCUCGAGUGGCGAACGGGUGAGUAACACGUGAGUAACCUGCCCUUGACUUUGGGAUAACUUCAGGAAACUGGGGCUAAUACCGGAUAGGAGCUCCUGCUGCAUGGUGGGGGUUGGAAAGUUUCGGCGGUUGGGGAUGGACUCGCGGCUUAUCAGCUUGUUGGUGGGGUAGUGGCUUACCAAGGCUUUGACGGGUAGCCGGCCUGAGAGGGUGACCGGCCACAUUGGGACUGAGAUACGGCCCAGACUCCUACGGGAGGCAGCAGUGGGGAAUAUUGCACAAUGGGCGGAAGCCUGAUGCAGCGACGCCGCGUGCGGGAUGACGGCCUUCGGGUUGUAAACCGCUUUCGCCUGUGACGAAGCGUGAGUGACGGUAAUGAGUAAAGAAGCACCGGCUAACUACGUG
This 468-nucleotide ribosomal RNA is filed under the name uncultured bacterium. RNAcentral's name for it is "partial 16S ribosomal RNA". It matches the Rfam family "Bacterial small subunit ribosomal RNA", at positions 28 to 507 of the family's 1533-position model. The record is from RNAcentral.